This 253-nucleotide ribosomal RNA is filed under the name uncultured bacterium. RNAcentral describes it as "partial 16S ribosomal RNA". It matches the Rfam family "Bacterial small subunit ribosomal RNA", at positions 524 to 776 of the family's 1533-position model. The record is from RNAcentral.
UACGUAGGGUGCAAGCGUUGUCCGGAUUUAUUGGGUUUAAAGGGUGCGUAGGCGGCCUUUUAAGUCAGUGGUGAAAGCCCGCGGCUCAACCGCGGAACUGCCAUUGAUACUGGAAGGCUUGAGUACAGACGAGGUGGGCGGAAUUGAAGAUGUAGCGGUGAAAUGCUUAGAUAUCUUCAAGAACACCGAUUGCGUAGGCAGCUUACUAGGCUGUAACUGACGCUGAGGCACGAAAGCGUGGGGAGCGAACAGG